Paramuricea clavata is the source of this 212-nucleotide non-coding RNA. The record is from the annotation of a GenBank genome assembly. NCBI's taxonomy places the organism in Eukaryota, Metazoa, Cnidaria, Anthozoa, Malacalcyonacea, Plexauridae.
AGCUGGGCCCGCUCUUUACCCAUAUAUACACAAGGUGAACUUUAGUAAGAAAUAACAACAAAGGCAGGAUCUCGCCAAAACUGGGCCAGCUUGGGUACCUGGGUUGGCUUGCAGUUACACCAUAUAAACAGCCCCUAUAUAUAGGCAGUAUAUAUUUUGUCUGGUAAUUGGAGUCUUUGGAGAUUUUGUGUGUAAAUGAAUAUAAAAAUGAC